UACGGGGGGGGCAAGCGUUGUUCGGAAUUACUGGGCGUAAAGGGCGCGUAGGCGGUGCUCUAAGUCGGAUGUGAAAACUCUGGGCUCAACCCAGAGCCUGCAUCCGAAACUGGAGUGCUAGAGUUCUGGAGGGGGUAGCGGAAUUCCUGGUGUAGCGGUGAAAUGCGUAGAUAUCUGGAGGAACACCGGUGGCGAAGGCGGCAUCCUGGACCAUUACUGACACUGAAUAGCGAAAGCCAGGGGAGCAAACGGG
This 253-nucleotide ribosomal RNA is filed under the name uncultured bacterium. RNAcentral describes it as "partial 16S ribosomal RNA". It matches the Rfam family "Bacterial small subunit ribosomal RNA", at positions 524 to 776 of the family's 1533-position model. The record is from RNAcentral.